RNAcentral lists this long non-coding RNA (2239 nucleotides) under Daphnia pulex (common water flea). RNAcentral's name for it is "uncharacterized LOC124193764, transcript variant X6". Lineage: Eukaryota; Metazoa; Arthropoda; Branchiopoda; Diplostraca; Daphniidae. The record is from RNAcentral.
ACCUGAGCUUCUUCAUUGAAGUCUGGAUUUGUUGCAGCCAGCUGGUGGAACUUGGUGUUCCUCUUGCAGUUUGCUACCAGUACCGAUUGUAGCUUUCGUCACAUGCAGAAACACUUCAUGUCCACUCCCCCUCAAUUAUUCAAAAUGGUGGCCAUCUGACAUGUUGAUUCCUGUAGAGGUGUGAUUGUGAUGAACAAUUCUCAUUCUCAGCUUUUUGAGAGAAGCUUAUCAGGUUAUUGCAUGUUGCUCUUUUGACCAACUUGAAAAAUAUCUUAAGAAUGGAUGUAAAGCCAGUUUUCUGUAUGUUAGAAACUCGAGGAAUGAUAAAUAGUGCUUUUCUUCGUGCGGGGGACGAAAUUCCGCCAUUUCCCAUUUGUUUCCGAGACACUGACUGAUAAUGUAUUACGAACUUCCGGCGUCCUUUUACCUUUUCAGUCAUGUUAAUCAAAAGGUAUAGCCUAUAGCAUCAACUUGGCCAAAUAAUCCGAUAACGUGGGCUAAAACUACUGUACAUGCUUUCGAACUGUUACCUGUACGUCUCAUCCCAUGUAGCAAAGAAGGAGAUCCCUCUGUUUAACUGAUGGAGGAUUUGAGAACAUGCAGAAUGUGAACUACACUUUCAUGCUCAUGGUUUUGUUGCAGUCAGCUGGUGAAAGGUGUGGUAAAGUCAAGUUGAGCUGCGGCACAAAUAAAUCAAAAUUGAGUUGUCACUACAAUUUGAACUUGUAGUAAGCCCAUUUACAUAUGGGCCUCUACACAUUCCUCUUCGUGUAACCAAAUCGCAAUCAUGGCAGGUACAAUUGCCGCACGGCUCGAGUUGAAAGGUGAAUCACGAGAAGGCAAAACUUAUUGAGCGAGAGAAAUGUCGAUAGAAGGCAGUCAAAUGAGCAUCUCCGACAUGACAACUUCCAGUUCGCAAUUAUUGGCAAAUAUUCUUUCUUUUUGUAUUUAGUUAUGUAUCAAUCCCAUUUGUCUCUUUUUUGUUAGUAUGCCAGUUAUUAUUGAUUAUUAAUGUGGAAAUUAAUUGCUCGGUUAACCAUAGCGUCGUGCUGCUGUUGGGUGUUGUAUCGUUGAUGACUGGGUCGACCACUGGUGCACCGAUCUUCUUGGUAUGGCGGAUACCAAACCGCAACGCCGCCGGCUUACUACCCAAAAGCAACUCACGCUACGACCAGUUACUGCGCCGAGACCCUUAAGUACUACACCACUAAGGUACUGGUGUAUUAUACCACAACUUAACUGCCCCCAGCUACUACACUGACGCCCCGAAGUAUUACUCUGCCCCGAGCUACACCAACAAUGUACUGGGGUACUACACGAAUACGUAUGCUGCCCCAACCUACUACACCGAGGCUCCCAAGUACUACUCUGUCCUCAGCUACUUAUUACACCGAUGGCUAAAGUAGUACUACUCUGUUCCCAGCUACUACAACUAGGCUCCGGCUGAUUUCUAAACCAAAACGGUUGCAAACUACACCAAAGUGCUCAAGAACUACUCUGUCCCGAUCUACACAGCCACUACUUGCGGCAACAGGCGGUCAAGUAUUGCGCAGCCCUACACAGAAGCUGCCUUUUCGUACUACGAAGAAAUACUACACUGAUGCUCCAGUUUGCUACACGCAACCUAUGCUACACCAAGUUUACUUCACCGAGGAACCCAAGUAUUACUCUGCUCCAAGCUACUACCAAACUGAGCUCAGAAGUACUACACCAGCAAGGUUCCUGAGUGUUACACCACUACUUACGCUGCUACGACCUACACACCGAAGUUCCAUAGUAUUCCUAUGCCCCGAGUUACUACACUACUAGAGCACCAACAAAUUACAACACAAUCUUUCUUCUUCGUUUACUGUUCUGAUGGUUGCUGUCCAAUGAGGUUUGAUAUUGCAGCAUAUGCUGGUGAAACAUUUAUGUGCAUCAAAUUUAAUUUUAGCUGUGACUUGGUUCUGGUAUUGUGUUUUGAAAGUUGCAAUUUGUAUUUGGUUCAAUUGGCAUUUUGUAUAUUUUAUUCGGAUGUUAAGAUUUUAGAAGAAAGAAAAACAAACAUGGGGAAUUUGAUGCCAUACAAAAAAUAAACAAAUCUUUGCAAUUAGGAAAGGAAGGAGGAGGAAAUUGGGGUAGUGAAGUAAUCAUUUGAAUAUAUCAAAUGAAAUUAUAUUAUUUAAUUUAUUGUGAAAUUUUCAUAUUGUUGAGUAGUAAUGUAAUAAAUAUGAAAAAUAUAAUUGUUCCGUCACAAUAA